RNAcentral lists this ribosomal RNA (253 nucleotides) under uncultured bacterium. RNAcentral's name for it is "partial 16S ribosomal RNA". It matches the Rfam family "Bacterial small subunit ribosomal RNA", at positions 524 to 776 of the family's 1533-position model. The record is from RNAcentral.
UACGAAGGGGGCUAGCGUUGUUCGGAAUUACUGGGCGUAAAGCGUAUGCAGGCGGAUCGUUAAGUCGGGGGUGAAAUCCCGAGGCUCAACCUCGGAACUGCCUUCGAUACUGGCGAUCUUGAGUCCGGGAGAGGUGAGUGGAACUCCGAGUGUAGAGGUGAAAUUCGUAGAUAUUCGGAAGAACACCAGUGGCGAAGGCGGCUUCCUGGACCGACACUGACGCUGAGGCGCGAAAGCUAGGGGAGCAAACGGG